Molecule: long non-coding RNA, 247 nt
Filed under: Elaeis guineensis (African oil palm)
Lineage: Eukaryota; Viridiplantae; Streptophyta; Magnoliopsida; Arecales; Arecaceae
Description: long non-coding RNA (EGUI_LNC042778)
Source: RNAcentral
AUAAUACUAAAAUAAAAUCAAUCAUAAAUACCUUUUAGAUCACAUCUAAAUAUUUUAUGAUUCAAAAUUUUAUUUUUUUAUGAUUAAAAUAAUUUUAAUCAUAUAGAUUAGAUAUUUUAUUUUUCAUAUAACUUUGUAUCACAUGCAACAAACCUAAGGUUUCAAGAUCUACGAUUUUACAGAAAAAUAAGUUCUUCCUUUCGUAUUCUUCUUCAUGGGAUUUAAUCACAUAGCACUCCUACAUGCC